UUUCAAUCCCUUCUCUCUCUCUUUCUCUCUCUCUCUCUCUCUUUCUCCAUCCAAAAGAACUAUUUAAACUCGACAAAAGCUCAUCUCUUGCUGCAAUUGCGUUUGUCUCCCUCCUCAUCUCUCUCUGUCUCUCUUUCUCUCUCUCUCUCAAUACCAUCAUACAGUUCUCCAUCACUUGCACUUGUCUCUUCUCCUAAUCAGGUUUUGGGUCCGAAGCAAUCCAAAACCAAGCCACUUCCACGGCAAACAAGAUGCCAAACAGGCGAUCUCGCUCAACGCAGUCGGGCUCUCCGGGGAUCACCGACGACCACAUCAUGGAACUCAUGUCCAAGCUGCAAGCUUUGCUCCCCGACCACCACCGCACUCGCAGCAGCAAAAGGGUAUCACGGAGUCAUCUAAAAUGUCGGCAGAUGAGGUCUUACAGGACUCGUGCAGCUACAUCAGGAGAUUGCACCAACAAGUGGAUGGCUUAAGCGAAAGGCUCGCACGUUUACUCGCCAUGUCCGGCAUGAACGAUGCUGAGGUCGCCGUGGUUCGUCGCCUUCUUCAUAUGUGAUUUGCUUGGCAUCGGAAGGUUCAAUGCUCAUAUGUAUGGUGGUGUGAAUCUGAGAACCCCUAUUGUUGUUGUUGA
Molecule: long non-coding RNA, 631 nt
Organism: Musa acuminata AAA Group (dessert banana)
Lineage: Eukaryota; Viridiplantae; Streptophyta; Magnoliopsida; Zingiberales; Musaceae
Exons: 2
Source: RefSeq, a predicted model, not a curated record